GGCGCGUUCGUCUAGUGGCCUAGGACGUCGGAUUCUCAUUCCGAAAAUCACGGGUUCAACUCCCGUACGCGCUACUA
RNAcentral lists this transfer RNA (77 nucleotides) under Candidatus Daviesbacteria bacterium RIFCSPHIGHO2_02_FULL_41_10. RNAcentral describes it as "tRNA-Glu". It matches the Rfam family "tRNA". Rfam says of the family: Transfer RNA (tRNA) molecules are approximately 80 nucleotides in length. The record is from RNAcentral. Lineage: Bacteria; Candidatus Daviesiibacteriota.